This 455-nucleotide ribosomal RNA is filed under the name uncultured bacterium. RNAcentral's name for it is "bacterial SSU rRNA". It matches the Rfam family "Bacterial small subunit ribosomal RNA", at positions 8 to 463 of the family's 1533-position model. The record is from RNAcentral.
AGAGUUUGAUCCUGGCUCAGAUUGAACGCUGGCGGCAUGCUUUACACAUGCAAGUCGAACGGCAGCACGGGUGCUUGCACCUGGUGGCGAGUGGCGAACGGGUGAGUAAUGCACCGGAACGUACCCAGUAAUGGGGGAUAACACAUCGAAAGAUGUGCUAAUACCGCAUACGCCCUGAGGGGGAAAGCGGGGGAUCGUAAGACCUCGCGUUAUUGGAGCGGCCGAUGCCGGAUUAGCUAGUUGGUGAGGUAAGAGCUCACCAAGGCGACGAUCCGUAGCUGGUCUGAGAGGAUGAUCAGCCACAUUGGGACUGAGACACGGCCCAGACUCCUACGGGAGGCAGCAGUGGGGAAUUUUGGACAAUGGGCGAAAGCCUGAUCCAGCCAUUCCGCGUGAGUGAAGAAGGCCUUCGGGUUGUAAAGCUCUUUCGCAAGGAAAGAAAACUUAUCCAUUAA